Molecule: long non-coding RNA, 318 nt
Organism: Vicia villosa (hairy vetch)
Lineage: Eukaryota; Viridiplantae; Streptophyta; Magnoliopsida; Fabales; Fabaceae
Exons: 3
Source: RefSeq, a predicted model, not a curated record
CUUCCGUCCAUUGCAGCGGGCAGACAAUUGCUACGGAAACGGAAUCAGUUAGACAUCACUUAGUCGAUAGAUUCCUGUCCAUCGACAAUACAGAAAGUCUGUUUCUUUGGGCGUAUAAUACCCGACCAGUAGGAGCACACUGGUUGUUGCUUGCUAUCAACCCUAUAAGAGAAGUGGUAUAUUUUCUGAAUUCGGUAGAUGGUGAGUGGAGCAACUAUCCGACUAUGAAGUCAAUGAUUGAUACAUCAAUACAAGUGUUCCGAAGUCAAAGAGACGCACAGGUAUCCCGGACUAAAUCAAACAUUACUUGGAUCAAAG